RNAcentral lists this long non-coding RNA (377 nucleotides) under Nicotiana benthamiana. RNAcentral describes it as "long non-coding RNA (NBEN_LNC004064)". The record is from RNAcentral. Lineage: Eukaryota; Viridiplantae; Streptophyta; Magnoliopsida; Solanales; Solanaceae.
GCCUCUUCUGGGGAGGAGAUAGACAAUCUGAGUCUUCGCCACCGAGUUUUGGUAAGUAACCAAAUGCUCCUCCCGCUUCGAAAAACUUGAGUUCGCAAUCGCGAGAUCGAAUGCCUUGGCAAAGUCCAACAGCGAAGUGCCCCCUCCAUUUCGCUCCCCGAAACCAAAGCCGCCAUGUACCUCAAUAUAACCACCUGCAGACGAUCCAAUAUGACCGUUAAAAUCUCCUUCUAUGAAUAACCUCUUGGAAGGCAGAAUAUUACGAACGAUGUCGUCCAACCCCUCCCAAAAGUGCCUUUUAAUCUCCUCAUCCAAGCCUAUUUGUGGCGCGUACGCACUAACAACAUUUAGAGUACACUCACCCACCACCAAUUUAA